This 319-nucleotide ribosomal RNA is filed under the name uncultured Pseudomonas sp. Its description in RNAcentral is "bacterial SSU rRNA". It matches the Rfam family "Bacterial small subunit ribosomal RNA", at positions 87 to 409 of the family's 1533-position model. Lineage: Bacteria; Pseudomonadati; Pseudomonadota; Gammaproteobacteria; Pseudomonadales; Pseudomonadaceae. The record is from RNAcentral.
UGAAUUCAGCGGCGGCCGGGUGAGUAAUGCCUAGGAAUCUGCCUGGUAGUGGGGGACAACGUUUCGAAAGGAACGCUAAUACCGCAUACGUCCUACGGGAGAAAGUGGGGGAUCUUCGGACCUCACGCUAUCAGAUGAGCCUAGGUCGGAUUAGCUAGUUGGUGAGGUAAUGGCUCACCAAGGCGACGAUCCGUAACUGGUCUGAGAGGAUGAUCAGUCACACUGGAACUGAGACACGGUCCAGACUCCUACGGGAGGCAGCAGUGGGGAAUAUUGGACAAUGGGCGAAAGCCUGAUCCAGCCAUGCCGCGUGUGUGAA